Molecule: non-coding RNA, 935 nt
Filed under: Sphaerotheca dobsonii (Mangalore bullfrog)
Lineage: Eukaryota; Metazoa; Chordata; Amphibia; Anura; Dicroglossidae
Description: partial 12S ribosomal RNA
Rfam family: Bacterial small subunit ribosomal RNA
Source: RNAcentral
UAAAGGCUUGGUCCUGGCCUUGUUAUCUGCUUUUUCCUGAUUUAUACAUGCAAGUUUCAGCGCCCCCGUGAGGAUGCCCUUUACCCCUUCACCAGGUUCAGGAGCCGGUAUCAGGCACAAUAAUUUGCCCACUACACCUAGUCUUACCACACCCCCAAGGGUCUUCAGCAGUAAUAAACAUUGAAUAUAAGCGACAGCUUGAUUCAGUCAAGGAAAAGAGAGUCGGCCAACCUGGUGCCAGCCGCCGCGGUUAGACCACGUAGACUCAAGUUGAUAGCAGUCGGCGUCAAGCGUGAUUAAAGUACUUAGCCAAUUAGAGUUAAACCUCAGCUCAGCUGUGAAAAGCAUGCUCUAGGGAGACACAUAAACGAAAGUUAUUCUAAUUUUAUACUUGACCCCACGUAAACUAGGAGAACAAACUGGGAUUAGAUACCCCACUAUGCCUAGCUGUAAACUUUUAACUUACACCCCUAAACGCCAGGGAACUACGAGUUUUAACUUAAAACCCAAAGGACUUGACGGUGUCCCACCCGACUAGAGGAGCCUGUUCUAUAAUCGAUGGUCCCCGCUCUACCUAACCCCCUUUUGCUUUUCAGUCUGUAUACCUCCGUCGUAAACUCACCAUGUGAAUGUAACAUAGUAUGGUUUAAAGGUCAUUGCCAACACGUCAGGUCAAGGUGCAGCCCACGAGGGGGUAAGAAAUGGGCUACAAUUUCUAAUCUAGAACAAACGAAAUACUGCAUGAAACACAGUUAAGAAGGAGGAUCUAGUAGUAAAGAGAAAAUAGUGUGUUCUCUUAAAUACGGCCCUGGGAUACGUACACACCGCCCGUCGCCCUCUUCGAAAAUUAUAAUUCGCUAAAUAACCAGUCAUCACAAAUAGAGAAGAGAUAAGUCGUAACAUGGUAAGUGUACCGGAAGGUGCACUUGGUUCAA